This 253-nucleotide ribosomal RNA is filed under the name uncultured bacterium. Its description in RNAcentral is "partial 16S ribosomal RNA". It matches the Rfam family "Bacterial small subunit ribosomal RNA", at positions 524 to 776 of the family's 1533-position model. The record is from RNAcentral.
GACAGAGGUCCCGAGCGUUAGGCGGAAUCACUGGGCUUAAAGCGUGUGUAGGCGGAUGCCUAAGUACCUUGUGAAAUCCCACGGCUCAACCGUGGAACUGCUUGGUAUACUGGGCGUCUUGAGCCACUUAGGGGCAACCGGAACAAACGGUGGAGCGGUGAAAUGCGUAGAUAUCGGGAAGAACACCCGUGGCGAAGGCGGCUCUCUGGGACGGUACUGACGCUGAGACGCGAAAGCGUGGGGAGCGAACAGG